GGCAACCUGCUUGGGUCCGCUUCCACACUGUGGAAGCUUUGCUCUUUCGCUCUUCACAAUAAAUCUUGCGGCUGCUCACUCUUUGGGUCUGCACUACCUUUAUGAGCUGUAACACUCACCAUGAGGGUCUGUGUCUUCAUUCCUUGAAGUCAGUGAGACCACGAACCCACUGGGAGGAACAAACAACUCCAGAUGCGCCACCUUUAAGAGCUGUAACACUCACCGCAAAGGUCUGUGGCUUCACUUCUGAAGUCAGCGAGACCACGAACCCACUGGAAGGAAGAAACUCCAGACACACCAUCUUUAAGAGCUGUAACACUCACCGCAAAGGUCUGUGGCUUCAUUCUCAAAGUCAGUGACACCAAGAACCCACCAGAAGGAAUAAAUUCUGGACACAUUUUGGUGACCACGAAGGGACUAUCACCUAUCGCCAAGUGGAUCGAGGCCAUCAAGCUACAGAUGGUCUUACAAAUGGAACCCCAAAUGAGCUCAACUAACAACUUCUACUAAGGACCCCUGGGCCAACCCACUGGCCCUUUGACUGGCCUAAAGAGUUCCCCUCUGAAGGACACUACAAUUGCAGGGACCCUUCUUUGCCCCUAUCCAGCAGGAAGUAGCUAGAGCGGUCAUUGUCCAAUUCCCAACUGCAGUUGGGGUGUCCUGUUUAGAGGGGGGAUUGAGAGGUGAAGCCAGCUGGACUUCCUGGGUCGAGUGGGGACUUGGAGAACAUUUCUGUCUAGCUAAAGGAUUGUAAAUGCACCAAUGAGCACUCUGUAAAAAUGCACCAAUCAGCGCUCUGUGUCUAGCUGAAAGAUUGUAAAUGCACCAAUCAGCACUCUGUAAAAACAUACCAAUCAGCGCUCUGUGUCUAGCUAAAGGAUUGUAAACGCACUGAUCAGCACUCUGUAAAAUGGACCAAUCAGCGUUCUGUAAAAUGGACCAAUCAGCAGGACAUGGGUGGGGCCAAACAAGGGAAUAAAAGCUGGUCACCCCAGCCAGCAGUGGCAAGCCACUCGGGUCCCCUUCCACACUGUGGAAGCUUUGUUCUUUUGCUCUUCACAAUAAAUCUUGCUGUUGCUCA
Molecule: long non-coding RNA, 1081 nt
Organism: Homo sapiens (human)
Lineage: Eukaryota; Metazoa; Chordata; Mammalia; Primates; Hominidae
Exons: 2
Source: RefSeq, a predicted model, not a curated record